GACGAACGCUGGCGGCGUGCUUAACACAUGCAAGUCGAACGGAAAGGCCCUGCUUUUGUGGGGUGCUCGAGUGGCGAACGGGUGAGUAACACGUGAGUAACCUGCCCUUGACUUUGGGAUAACUUCAGGAAACUGGGGCUAAUACCGGAUAGGAGCUCCUGCUGCAUGGUGGGGGUUGGAAAGUUUCGGCGGUUGGGGAUGGACUCGCGGCUUAUCAGCUUGUUGGUGGGGUAGUGGCUUACCAAGGCUUUGACGGGUAGCCGGCCUGAGAGGGUGACCGGGCACAUUGGGACUGAGAUACGGCCCAGACUCCUACGGGAGGCAGCGGUGGGGAAUAUUGCAGAAUGGGCGGAAGCCUGAUGCAGCAACGCCGCGUGCGGGAUAACGGCCUUCGGGUUGUAAACCGCUUUCGCCUGUGACGAAGCGUGAGUGACGGUAAUGGGUAAAGAAGCACCGGCUAACUACGUG
RNAcentral lists this ribosomal RNA (468 nucleotides) under uncultured bacterium. RNAcentral describes it as "partial 16S ribosomal RNA". It matches the Rfam family "Bacterial small subunit ribosomal RNA", at positions 28 to 507 of the family's 1533-position model. The record is from RNAcentral.